This 157-nucleotide unclassified non-coding RNA is filed under the name soil metagenome. RNAcentral describes it as "partial internal transcribed spacer 1". The record is from RNAcentral.
CCGAGUUUACAACUCCCAAACCCCUGUGAACAUACCACUUGUUGCCUCGGCGGAUCAGCCCGCUCCCCGGUAAAACGGGACGGCCCGCCAGAGGACCCCCUAAACUCUGUUUCUAUAUGUAACUUCUACUUCUGAGUAAAAACCAUAAAUAAAUCAA